ACUUCUGGGAGAGCUCUGCCCGUGUCUGCCCGUCUCUGGACAUUCAUGAAGCGCGCAAGCGACCUUGAGGGAAUGCGGACGGAGCUGGCUAGGAGGAUGAACAUUCAGGGACGGGCAGAAACGGGCAGAGCUCCCCGAGAAGU
Molecule: microRNA precursor, 143 nt
Filed under: Physcomitrium patens
Lineage: Eukaryota; Viridiplantae; Streptophyta; Bryopsida; Funariales; Funariaceae
Description: Physcomitrella patens miR11324 stem-loop (ppt-MIR11324)
Source: miRBase by way of RNAcentral